UGACCUCUCUUGCCUCUCUUUUCCAUUCAACCCUAGUUUCUCACUCUUUGCCGUCACCGAGAUCUAGCCACCACCCCUCUUCUAGAGGGGGUGGGGGAGUAAGGGAUCUAGUAGGAGAUCUCCUUCCCUCACACCCUCCCCUACCCAACAAACACUCCUCUUCUUCAAUUUGACCAAUCCUCUCCAUCUUUUACCCUUCGUGCAUCCAUUGAUACACCCUCUCCUCUUUUUUCAUUGAGCCAUUGAGUCAACAUCCCAUCAACACAAAUCUUCAUUGUACCAUUAAUUAAAACUAAAUCAUUGGAAUCAAGAGUUCAUUCUCCAUUUUCUUGUGACGUUCCUCAUCCUCUUUGGCUUCAAUUCACCAUACAAAAUCACCCGUCACCACACAAGAUUUUAUUUUUGUUCGAUCUCAGUUGAAAAAAGUUUGAGAGAAUCUAGAACCUUGGGAGUCGAGAAGAUCUAGAAUCUACCAAUGCUUUUCAAGAACGUUAUUCUAUCGUCAUAUGCAGUGACACCAACCUAUGAUCUCCUACAAAAGAUUUUCUCUUGAUUGCAGUCGAAUCUCAGAUUGUGGAGGAUUGUGUAAGACAAGGCGCAUUGUGCAUUGGAGGCCAAACGUGCGCCAUAGUGCACAAGGCUUGUGGAACAUGUUGUGUGAGGUGCAAGUUUAUCCCACCUAGUACUUCCAGCAAUAGGGAGCUAUGUGGAACCUACUAUAUAGAUAUGAUCACCCACAGCAAGAGAAAGUGUCCUUAGAGUCCAAUCCAUAGAAGGUGAGCCCAUUGGGCCCUUCGUGUACCCGGGCUAUUCACACCAAGCAAAACAACUAGUCAAGAUUAGUAAGUACUAAUAAAUAUUUGUUAUGUGUUAUGUAAACUUAUGGGAAUUUGGAUUUGUCAUCUUAAGACCAUGCUUUAGUUUCUUUUUUGCUUAUCCCAUGUUCUAGUUUAUGCCUUUGUUAUAAUGGUAUGAUACUAGUUUGAACCAAGUAUAUAAACAUCGCGCUUAGUUUGAACC
Glycine soja is the source of this 1020-nucleotide long non-coding RNA. RefSeq lists it as uncharacterized. Lineage: Eukaryota; Viridiplantae; Streptophyta; Magnoliopsida; Fabales; Fabaceae. The record is from RefSeq and is a predicted model, not a curated record. The transcript is spliced from 2 exons.